Molecule: long non-coding RNA, 1469 nt
Organism: Gadus chalcogrammus (walleye pollock)
Lineage: Eukaryota; Metazoa; Chordata; Actinopteri; Gadiformes; Gadidae
Exons: 6
Source: RefSeq, a predicted model, not a curated record
CGGUUUGUGCUUCCCGCCAUGGACGGUUCUGAGUGUUGACGUGACGGGACUCUCGCUGCGUACAAAACAUCGUUCUACUUGCGGGUCCAUUUUUUACAUCAGUGAAGGCUGAAAAUCAUUUGAAGGUGGAAGACAAUUUGACAUUUCUUCAACGGAACCCAGCACCUAAAUAUGGCUGAGUAUAUUUGAUUUAAUAUCGAUACUGCUUAGUGUUCUUUGUUACUUCAGCUUUUGUACAUUCUAAAUAUCUGCUGUCAUUAAUUGCCACAGAAGUUAAACCCUACCCAAUGAAAUGACGUUAAACAACGACUUUGGUGCAGAGUUACCAACUGGAUAAUAUCAAAGCUAAAAUAAUGGCGGUCCUUCCAGUACAGUUACAGUAGAAGAUACUCUAGAACUGUACAAGGUUAAAAAGGUAACAUGUAGUUUGUCCCAAGUUGUCUGCCUCCUCACCCAGAGCAAGACCUCCACCUCCUCACCCAGAGCCAGACCUCCACCUCCUGUCAGAAGUCCUCCAGAACAGCUGAAAGGUGAGGCUGGGGACCGGAGGCUUGUGGUGCCAGGAUGGACCGGAGACUGAGGCUGGAGACCAGGGGCCUGCAGCACCGGACCAGAGGGUAACCAUCACCAAGCUCAUCUGAAACACUAAAAUCCACGACCAGGAAUCCAUGGCUGAAGGAGCUGAUGGAGGCCCUGCCUGGUGGAGGAGCUGGGGGAGGCCCUGCCUGGUGAAGGACGUCUGUCGUGGGACCAGGACUCUGUCUGAGGAGAGCUAAUGGAGGAGCUGAGACUCUGGAGGAUGACAUCACUCUACCAACCAGGAUCCUCAGACAAAUUACGUUUAUAACCAGACCAGGAAUCUGGUGGACUGAUGGAGAGGCCGUACAUCUGGAAGGCAAAUCCUGAGGACAUCCAGGACUCUACCAUCAUGGAUUCCUCACACACCUGAGCUGAACCUCACCUGAUCCUGUUUGGUCGGGGGUAGACACACCUGAGCUGAACCCGCCCUGAUCCUGACAUCCUGCUGGUCCCGUCUCCUCAGUUCAUCUGAGCCUCGUCCUCCACGAGGACGAGGCUCAAUGGAUCAAUGACCUCCAGUGGGAGUGAUCUUCUUGACCCCACAUGUAACCGUGUGCUUCCACACAUCUUUCUCUCACGUCUGUCACUAACCUCACUACUUCACUACUCUCUACUGCUUCCUCUUCUUCUCCCUUCUCUGUGGUUCGAACCUUUACACUGAAGGCGCGUCUUCCUGCCCUCAGAGGGUUCAGCGUUAGGGUUGAGAGUCAGGGUUUAGAGUCAGGGACAGAGCUGGUCAGGGAGGACUGCUUUUAGACAAACCUCUUCACUUGCUUUCGGAAUGGUGGUGUCAUUUUGAAAAGAUUAAUUUGGGAAAAUGUUUUCCUCUGCUUUCCUUUACAAAAUUAAACUUCUGUCAAGUGUUUUUGUUUAUAUAUUAAAAUCCCACA